RNAcentral lists this long non-coding RNA (849 nucleotides) under Homo sapiens (human). RNAcentral describes it as "HSALNT0381119". Lineage: Eukaryota; Metazoa; Chordata; Mammalia; Primates; Hominidae. The record is from RNAcentral.
UUAAAUAUCAUUCAUAAAAUAUGUGUAUGUAUAGUUAGAUAUAAUAGACAAAACCAAGUUUUCGUUUUCUUAUCAGCUUUUAGUGCUUAAGACAGAUUCUGACCUUCUCUGUUUCAUCCCUGCAGAAUCCUGCUAUAAUGAGAAGUACUUUCUGUCAAAGGACUUAAGUGUUUCACAAUGAAUGUCUUUCUCCUCUUAGAUAAUAACACUAAUUGCUAAUAUUUAAGGAGUGUUUUACUAAGUGUCAGGGGCUAUUUUAAGAAUGGGUUAUGGAUAUUUUAUUUACUCAUAGCAAUCUUAAGAGGUCUCUUGACCUCCUGUCUUAGGAAUAAGAUUAAAUAAUUUUCCCAUAGUCCCUCUUAAUGAUAAAAUAAAGAUUUUGAAGGAGUCUCCAGUGGCCCAAUCAAAAAGCAGAAUUGAGAUACUGUGAUGCUGUAAUAAAAUUAGCAUUUGGGGAGUGGACAAGAGAAAUGCCUGUUUUUUGGCCUCUCCUAUCUAAUCUUGUUUAGCAGCCCUAUAUUCCACCAGCCCAUAGCAGGUUCUGAGAGUGGGUCUUUCAUUAAGCAAUUUUACUCAUAACUUGGUGCUUGAGGUAGCACUAAUUACAAAGCUCAAAGAGGGAUGGGGGAAGCUUUCCAAGAGCCAAUGCCAAAAUGGAAGUUUCUCCAUCUACAUCACUAUUUGGAAAGAGUUCAGUAGAUUUUUAUAAACUUUUCAAAAGUACUCUCAACCACCACCAACAAAAAAUAGGUUGGGUGCAGUGGCUCACGCCUGUAAUCUCAGCAUUUGGGGAGGCCGAGGUGGGAGGAUCACUUGAGGUCGGGAGUUGGAGACCAAGCUGACCAACAU